Molecule: ribosomal RNA, 441 nt
Filed under: uncultured soil bacterium
Lineage: Bacteria
Description: bacterial SSU rRNA
Rfam family: Bacterial small subunit ribosomal RNA
Source: RNAcentral
AGAGCGAACGCUGGCGGCAGGCCUAACACACGCAAGUCGAACGGACCCUUCGGGGUUAGUGGCGGACGGGUGAGUAACACGUGGGAACGUGCCUUUAGGUUCGGAAUAGCUCCUGGAAACGGGUGGUAAUGCCGAAUGUGCCCUUCGGGGGAAAGAUUUAUCGCCUUUAGAGCGGCCCGCGUCUGAUUAGCUUGUUGGUGAGGUAAUGGCUCACCAAGGCUACGAUCAGUAGCUGGUCUGAGGGGAUGACCAGCCACAUUGGGACUGAGACACGGCCCAAACUCCUACGGGAGGCAGCAGUGGGGAAUCUUGCGCAAUGGGCGAAAGCCUGACGCAGCCAUGCCGCGUGUAUGAUGAAGGUCUUAGGAUUGUAAAAUACUUUCACCGGUGAAGAUAAUGACUGUAGCGGAGAAGAGCCCGCUAACUCGUGCCAGCAGCCGC